CUAUAAUGCAGUCGAGCGGACAGAAGGGAGCUUGCUCCCGGAUGUUAGCGGCGGACGGGUGAGUAACACGUGGGUAACCUGCCUGUAAGACUGGGAUAACUCCGGGAAACCGGAGCUAAUACCGGAUAGUUCCUUGAACCGCAUGGUUCAAGGAUGAAAGACGGUUUCGGCUGUCACUUACAGAUGGACCCGCGGCGCAUUAGCUAGUUGGUGGGGUAAUGGCUCACCAAGGCGACGAUGCGUAGCCGACCUGAGAGGGUGAUCGGCCACACUGGGACUGAGACACGGCCCAGACUCCUACGGGAGGCAGCAGUAGGGAAUCUUCCGCAAUGGACGAAAGUCUGACGGAGCAACGCCGCGUGAGUGAUGAAGGUUUUCGGAUCGUAAAGCUCUGUUGUUAGGGAAGAACAAGUGCGAGAGUAACUGCUCGCACCUUGACGGUACCUAACCAGAAAGCCACGGCUAACUACGUGCCAGCAGCCGCGGUAAUACGUAGGUGGCAAGCGUUGUCCGGAAUUAUUGGGCGUAAAGGGCUCGCAGGCGGUUUCUUAAGUCUGAUGUGAAAGCCCCCGGCUCAACCGGGGAGGGUCAUUGGAAACUGGGAAACUUGAGUGCAGAAGAGGAGAGUGGAAUUCCACGUGUAGCGGUGAAAUGCGUAGAGAUGUGGAGGAACACCAGUGGCGAAGGCGACUCUCUGGUCUGUAACUGACGCUGAGGAGCGAAAGCGUGGGGAGCGAACAGGAUUAGAUACCCUGGGUAGUCCACGCCGUAAACGAUGAGUGCUAAGUGUUAGGGGGUUUCCGCCCCUUAUGCUGCAGCUAACUCAUUAAGCACUCCGCCUGGGAGUACGGUCGCAGACUGAUACUCAAAGAAUUGACGAGGGCGCGCGCGAGCGCUUGAGCAUGUGUUUAAUUCAAGCAACGCCAACAACAUUACCAGGCUGACGUCGUCUUACAACCCUAGAAGAAGUGCUUGUCCAUCGAGAAGAAUGCCAGUGUUUGCAUCGCUUGUGUCGCUCCAUCCGAAAAUGUUUGCUCAGUCCGAAACGAUCGCACCCGU
Molecule: ribosomal RNA, 1059 nt
Filed under: Bacillus pumilus
Lineage: Bacteria; Bacillati; Bacillota; Bacilli; Caryophanales; Bacillaceae
Description: bacterial SSU rRNA
Rfam family: Bacterial small subunit ribosomal RNA
Source: RNAcentral